Molecule: ribosomal RNA, 2905 nt
Filed under: Salmonella enterica
Lineage: Bacteria; Pseudomonadati; Pseudomonadota; Gammaproteobacteria; Enterobacterales; Enterobacteriaceae
Also listed under: 1 other name
Description: 23S ribosomal RNA
Rfam family: Bacterial large subunit ribosomal RNA
Source: RNAcentral
GGUUAAGCGACUAAGCGUACACGGUGGAUGCCCUGGCAGUCAGAGGCGAUGAAGGGCGUGCUAAUCUGCGAUAAGCGCCGGUAAGGUGAUAUGAACCGUUAUAACCGGCGAUACCCGAAUGGGGAAACCCAGUGUGAUUCGUCACACUAUCAUUAACUGAAUCCAUAGGUUAAUGAGGCGAACCGGGGGAACUGAAACAUCUAAGUACCCCGAGGAAAAGAAAUCAACCGAGAUUCCCCCAGUAGCGGCGAGCGAACGGGGAGGAGCCCAGAGCCUGAAUCAGCAUGUGUGUUAGUGGAAGCGUCUGGAAAGGCGCGCGAUACAGGGUGACAGCCCCGUACACAAAAGCGCAUGUGUUGUGAGCUCGAUGAGUAGGGCGGGACACGUGGUAUCCUGUCUGAAUAUGGGGGGACCAUCCUCCAAGGCUAAAUACUCCUGACUGACCGAUAGUGAACCAGUACCGUGAGGGAAAGGCGAAAAGAACCCCGGCGAGGGGAGUGAAAAAGAACCUGAAACCGUGUACGUACAAGCAGUGGGAGCACCCUUUGGGGUGUGACUGCGUACCUUUUGUAUAAUGGGUCAGCGACUUAUAUUCUGUAGCAAGGUUAACCGAAUAGGGGAGCCGGAGGGAAACCGAGUCUUAAUUGGGCGUUAAGUUGCAGGGUAUAGACCCGAAACCCGGUGAUCUAGCCAUGGGCAGGUUGAAGGUUGGGUAACACUAACUGGAGGACCGAACCGACUAAUGUUGAAAAAUUAGCGGAUGACCUGUGGCUGGGGGUGAAAGGCCAAUCAAACCGGGAGAUAGCUGGUUCUCCCCGAAAGCUAUUUAGGUAGCGCCUCGUGAAUUCAUCUCCGGGGGUAGAGCACUGUUUCGGCUAGGGGGCCAUCCCGGCUUACCAACCCGAUGCAAACUGCGAAUACCGGAGAAUGUUAUCACGGGAGACACACGGCGGGUGCUAACGUCCGUCGUGAAGAGGGAAACAACCCAGACCGCCAGCUAAGGUCCCAAAGUCAUAGUUAAGUGGGAAACGAUGUGGGAAGGCCCAGACAGCCAGGAUGUUGGCUUAGAAGCAGCCAUCAUUUAAAGAAAGCGUAAUAGCUCACUGGUCGAGUCGGCCUGCGCGGAAGAUGUAACGGGGCUAAACUAUGCACCGAAGCUGCGGCAGCGACACUAUGUGUUGUUGGGUAGGGGAGCGUUCUGUAAGCCUGUGAAGGUGUGUCGUGAGGCAUGCUGGAGGUAUCAGAAGUGCGAAUGCUGACAUAAGUAACGAUAAAGCGGGUGAAAAGCCCGCUCGCCGGAAGACCAAGGGUUCCUGUCCAACGUUAAUCGGGGCAGGGUGAGUCGACCCCUAAGGCGAGGCCGAAAGGCGUAGUCGAUGGGAAACGGGUUAAUAUUCCCGUACUUGGUGUUACUGCGAAGGGGGGACGGAGAAGGCUAUGUUGGCCGGGCGACGGUUGUCCCGGUUUAAGCGUGUAGGUGUGUGUUCCAGGUAAAUCCGGUUCACUUUAACACUGAGGCGUGAUGACGAGGCACUACGGUGCUGAAGCAACAAAUGCCCUGCUUCCAGGAAAAGCCUCUAAGCAUCAGGUAACAUCAAAUCGUACCCCAAACCGACACAGGUGGUCAGGUAGAGAAUACCAAGGCGCUUGAGAGAACUCGGGUGAAGGAACUAGGCAAAAUGGUGCCGUAACUUCGGGAGAAGGCACGCUGACACGUAGGUGAAGUGAUUUACUCAUGGAGCUGAAGUCAGUCGAAGAUACCAGCUGGCUGCAACUGUUUAUUAAAAACACAGCACUGUGCAAACACGAAAGUGGACGUAUACGGUGUGACGCCUGCCCGGUGCCGGAAGGUUAAUUGAUGGGGUCAGCGCAAGCGAAGCUCCUGAUCGAAGCCCCGGUAAACGGCGGCCGUAACUAUAACGGUCCUAAGGUAGCGAAAUUCCUUGUCGGGUAAGUUCCGACCUGCACGAAUGGCGUAAUGAUGGCCAGGCUGUCUCCACCCGAGACUCAGUGAAAUUGAACUCGCUGUGAAGAUGCAGUGUACCCGCGGCAAGACGGAAAGACCCCGUGAACCUUUACUAUAGCUUGACACUGAACAUUGAGCCUUGAUGUGUAGGAUAGGUGGGAGGCUUUGAAGUGUGGACGCCAGUCUGCAUGGAGCCGACCUUGAAAUACCACCCUUUAAUGUUUGAUGUUCUAACGUGGACCCGUGAUCCGGGUUGCGGACAGUGUCUGGUGGGUAGUUUGACUGGGGCGGUCUCCUCCUAAAGAGUAACGGAGGAGCACGAAGGUUGGCUAAUCCUGGUCGGACAUCAGGAGGUUAGUGCAAUGGCAUAAGCCAGCUUGACUGCGAGCGUGACGGCGCGAGCAGGUGCGAAAGCAGGUCAUAGUGAUCCGGUGGUUCUGAAUGGAAGGGCCAUCGCUCAACGGAUAAAAGGUACUCCGGGGAUAACAGGCUGAUACCGCCCAAGAGUUCAUAUCGACGGCGGUGUUUGGCACCUCGAUGUCGGCUCAUCACAUCCUGGGGCUGAAGUAGGUCCCAAGGGUAUGGCUGUUCGCCAUUUAAAGUGGUACGCGAGCUGGGUUUAGAACGUCGUGAGACAGUUCGGUCCCUAUCUGCCGUGGGCGCUGGAGAACUGAGGGGGGCUGCUCCUAGUACGAGAGGACCGGAGUGGACGCAUCACUGGUGUUCGGGUUGUCAUGCCAAUGGCACUGCCCGGUAGCUAAAUGCGGAAGAGAUAAGUGCUGAAAGCAUCUAAGCACGAAACUUGCCCCGAGAUGAGUUCUCCCUGAGACUUAGAGUCUCCUGAAGGAACGUUGAAGACGACGACGUUGAUAGGCCGGGUGUGUAAGCGCAGCGAUGCGUUGAGCUAACCGGUACUAAUGAACCGUGAGGCUUAACCUU